Molecule: small nucleolar RNA, 107 nt
Organism: Coffea eugenioides
Lineage: Eukaryota; Viridiplantae; Streptophyta; Magnoliopsida; Gentianales; Rubiaceae
Source: RefSeq, a predicted model, not a curated record
AGUUCGUGAUGUGGACAUUUCUGUAACAAAUGCCUAAACCUUUCCUAUUCUUUAUACAAUGAUUCACUCUCUUGUUGCCUAAAAUUAGUUUUGUCCAUUCUAAACUU